RNAcentral lists this ribosomal RNA (627 nucleotides) under Copelatus sp. MB3878. Its description in RNAcentral is "SSU rRNA". It matches the Rfam family "Eukaryotic small subunit ribosomal RNA", at positions 8 to 605 of the family's 1831-position model. The record is from RNAcentral. Lineage: Eukaryota; Metazoa; Arthropoda; Insecta; Coleoptera; Dytiscidae.
UUGAUCCUGCCAGUAGUCAUAUGCUUGUCUCAAAGAUUAAGCCAUGCAUGUCUCAGUACAAGCCACAUUAAGGUGAAACCGCGAAAGGCUCAUUAAAUCAGUUAUGGUUCCUUAGAUCGUACCCACAUUUACUUGGAUAACUGUGGUAAUUCUAGAGCUAAUACAUGCAAACAGAGUUCCGACCGGAGACGGGAGGAAUGCUUUUAUUAGAUCAAAACCAAUCGGCGGCGGGUGCGUUCGCGUGUCCGUUCGCCGCUCAACUUGGUGACUCUGAAUAACUUUCGGCUGAUCGCACGGUCUCGCACCGGCGACGCAUCUUUCAAAUGUCUGCCUUAUCAACUGUCGAUGGUAGGUUCUGCGCCUACCAUGGUCGUAACGGGUAACGGGGAAUCAGGGUUCGAUUCCGGAGAGGGAGCCUGAGAAACGGCUACCACAUCCAAGGAAGGCAGCAGGCGCGCAAAUUACCCACUCCCGGCACGGGGAGGUAGUGACGAAAAAUAACGAUACGGGACUCAUCCGAGGCCCCGUAAUCGGAAUGAGUACACUUUAAAUCCUUUAACGAGGAUCAAUUGGAGGGCAAGUCUGGUGCCAGCAGCCGCGGUAAUUCCAGCUCCAAUAGCGUAUAUU